RNAcentral lists this ribosomal RNA (611 nucleotides) under uncultured bacterium. Its description in RNAcentral is "bacterial SSU rRNA". It matches the Rfam family "Bacterial small subunit ribosomal RNA", at positions 338 to 1415 of the family's 1533-position model. The record is from RNAcentral.
CCUACGGGGAGGCAGCAGUGGGGAAUUUUCCGCAAUGGGCGAAAGCCUGACGGAGCAAUACCGCGUGAGGGAAGAAUGCCUACGGGUUGUAAACCUCUUUUAUCAGGGAGGAACAAAAUGACGUGUACCUGAUGAAUAAGCAUCGGCUAACUCUGUGCCAGCAGCCGCGGUAAGACAGAGGAUGCAAGUGUUAUCCGGAAUUACUGGGCGUAAAACGUCUGUAGGUUGUUGAACAAGUCAACUGUUAAAUCUUGAAGCUCAACUUCAAAAUCGCAGUCGAAACUGUUUGACUAGAGUAUAGUAGAGGUAAAGGGAAUUUCCAGUGGAGCGGUGAAAUGCGUAGAUAUUGGAAAGAACACCGAUGGCGAAAGCACUUUACUGGGCUAUUACUGACACUCAGAGACGACAGCUAGGGUAGCAAAUGGGAUUAGAUACCCCAGUAGCCCUAGCCGUAAACUAUGGAUACUAGAUGUUGAACAGAUCGACCUGUGNAUAUAAGUACUACGACGUAAGUAUCCGCCGUCGGAGUAUGCUCGCGAAGAGUAGAACGUACGAAAGAAAGUAGUACGGACGUGAGACGUAGCCGAACGGACGACGACGAGGGAGGUAGG